This 585-nucleotide ribosomal RNA is filed under the name uncultured bacterium. Its description in RNAcentral is "partial 16S ribosomal RNA". It matches the Rfam family "Bacterial small subunit ribosomal RNA", at positions 355 to 1375 of the family's 1533-position model. The record is from RNAcentral.
UGGGGAAUUUUGGACAAUGGGCGAAAGCCUGAUCCAGCAAUGCCGCGUGUGUGAAGAAGGCCUUCGGGUUGUAAAGCACUUUUGUCCGGAAAGAAAUCCUUGGCUCUAAUACAGUCGGGGGAUGACGGUACCGGAAGAAUAAGCACCGGCUAACUACGUGCCAGCAGCCGCGGUAAUACGUAGGGUGCAAGCGUUAAUCGGAAUUACUGGGCGUAAAGCGUGCGCAGGCGGUUUGCUAAGACCGAUGUGAAAUCCCCGGGCUCAACCUGGGAACUGCAUUGGUGACUGGCAGGCUAGAGUAUGGCAGAGGGGGGUAGAAUUCCACGUGUAGCAGUGAAAUGCGUAGAGAUGUGGAGGAAUACCGAUGGCGAAGGCAGCCCCCUGGGCCAAUACUGACGCUCAUGCACGAAAGCGUGGGGAGCAAACAGGAUUAGAUACCCUGGUAGUCCACGCCCUAAACGAUGUCAACUAGUUGUUGGGGAUUCACUUCCUUAGUAACGUAGCUAACGCGUGAAGUUGACCGCCUGGGGAGUACGGUCGCAAGAUUAAAACUCAAAGGAAUUGACGGGGUCAUAGCUGUUUCCU